This 20-nucleotide non-coding RNA is filed under the name Arabidopsis thaliana (thale cress). Lineage: Eukaryota; Viridiplantae; Streptophyta; Magnoliopsida; Brassicales; Brassicaceae. The record is from RNAcentral.
AGACAUAGUAAGGAUUGACA